Molecule: non-coding RNA, 24 nt
Filed under: Arabidopsis thaliana (thale cress)
Lineage: Eukaryota; Viridiplantae; Streptophyta; Magnoliopsida; Brassicales; Brassicaceae
Source: RNAcentral
GAGGUAUCCAACUUCAGUCUCAGU